GCGCGGGUAGUAUAGUGGUUAGUAUUCCACGUUGCCAACGUGGAGACCCGGGUUCAAGUCCCGGCUCGCGCA
RNAcentral lists this transfer RNA (72 nucleotides) under Candidatus Woesearchaeota archaeon. RNAcentral describes it as "tRNA-Gly". It matches the Rfam family "tRNA". From Rfam's summary of the family: Transfer RNA (tRNA) molecules are approximately 80 nucleotides in length. Their secondary structure includes four short double-helical elements and three loops (D, anti-codon, and T loops). Lineage: Archaea; Nanobdellati; Candidatus Woesearchaeota. The record is from RNAcentral.